AAGUCGUAACAAGGUAACCGUAGGUGAACCUGCGGUUGGAUCAUUAUAAAAAUAAUGGUUCUCUUAAGUUGAGUUUUAUAUUUAUUUAUUUAUAAAAUUCCUUGGAGAAUUCCAAUUUAACCCUAUGUGCACUGUAAAUGUUUUUCGAGUACUAUCUAAGUGCUCGACCAUAUUUAAAAAACCCUAUGAAUUUAAUUUGUCUGACUUUUUUUAUUAAUAAUAAAUAAAAAAUACAACUUUUGACAACGGAUCUCUUGGCUCUC
This 263-nucleotide unclassified non-coding RNA is filed under the name fungal sp. Its description in RNAcentral is "partial internal transcribed spacer region". The stretch from base 1 to 46 matches the Rfam family "Eukaryotic small subunit ribosomal RNA", at positions 1786 to 1831 of the family's 1831-position model. Lineage: Eukaryota; Fungi. RNAcentral also lists the same sequence under 1 other name. The record is from RNAcentral.